RNAcentral lists this ribosomal RNA (539 nucleotides) under Fusarium culmorum. RNAcentral describes it as "eukaryotic LSU rRNA". The stretch from base 181 to 334 matches the Rfam family "5.8S ribosomal RNA". The record is from RNAcentral. Lineage: Eukaryota; Fungi; Ascomycota; Sordariomycetes; Hypocreales; Nectriaceae.
UCUCCGUUGGUGAACCAGCGGAGGGAUCAUUACCGAGUUUACAACUCCCAAACCCCUGUGAACAUACCUUAUGUUGCCUCGGCGGAUCAGCCCGCGCCCCGUAAAAAGGGACGGCCCGCCGCAGGAACCUUAAACUCUGUUUUUAGUGGAACUUCUGAGUAUAAAAAACAAAUAAAUCAAAACUUUCAACAACGGAUCUCUUGGUUCUGGCAUCGAUGAAGAACGCAGCAAAAUGCGAUAAGUAAUGUGAAUUGCAGAAUUCAGUGAAUCAUCGAAUCUUUGAACGCACAUUGCGCCCGCCAGUAUUCUGGCGGGCAUGCCUGUUCGAGCGUCAUUUCAACCCUCAAGCCCAGCUUGGUGUUGGGAGCUGCAGUCCUGCUGCACUCCCCAAAUACAUUGGCGGUCACGUCGAGCUUCCAUAGCGUAGUAAUUUACAUAUCGUUACUGGUAAUCGUCGCGGCCACGCCGUUAAACCCCAACUUCUGAAUGUUGACCUCGGAUCAGGUAGGAAUACCCGCUGAACUUAAGCAUAUCAAUAA